RNAcentral lists this ribosomal RNA (971 nucleotides) under uncultured bacterium. RNAcentral's name for it is "bacterial SSU rRNA". It matches the Rfam family "Bacterial small subunit ribosomal RNA", at positions 521 to 1485 of the family's 1533-position model. The record is from RNAcentral.
UAAGACGUAGGGGGCGAGCGUUGUCCGGAAUUACUGGGCGUAAAGAGCACGUAGGCGGAUAUUUAAGUCAGUUGUGAAAGACCGCGGCUCAACCGCGGGGUUGCAAUUGAAACUGGGUAUCUUGAGGGCAGGAGAGGUCAGUGGAAUUCCUGGUGUAGCGGUGAAAUGCGUAGAAAUCAGGAGGAACACCAGUGGCGAAGGCGGCUGACUGGACUGGCCCUGACGCUGAGGUGCGAAAGCGUGGGUAGCAAACAGGAUUAGAUACCCUGGUAGUCCACGCCGUAAACGAUGGAUACUAGGUGUGGGAGGUAUCGACCCCUUCCGUGCCGCAGCUAACGCAAUAAGUAUCCCGCCUGGGGAGUACGGUCGCAAGGCUGAAACUCAAAGGAAUUGACGGGGGCCCGCACAAGCGGUGGAGCAUGUGGUUUAAUUCGAUGCAACGCGAAGAACCUUACCAGGUCUUGACAUCCAGAGAAUCCUUUGGAAACAAGGGAGUGCCUUUUUAAAGAGCUCUGAGACAGGUGGUGCAUGGUUGUCGUCAGCUCGUGUCGUGAGAUGUUGGGUUAAGUCCCGCAACGAGCGCAACCCUUGCUAUUAGUUGCUAACAGGUGAUGCUGAGCACUCUAAUGGGACUGCCCGUGACAAGCGGGAGGAAGGUGGGGAUGACGUCAAAUCAUCAUGCCCUUUAUGAUCUGGGCUACACACGUGCUACAAUGGGUGGUACAGAGAGCUGCGAAGCCGUGAGGUGGAGCGAAUCUCAAAAAGCCAUUCUCAGUUCGGAUUGCAGUCUGCAACUCGACUGCAUGAAGUCGGAAUCGCUAGUAAUCGCGAAUCAGCACGUCGCGGUGAAUGCGUUCCCGGGCCUUGUACACACCGCCCGUCACACCACGAAAGUCGGCAACACCCGAAGCCGGUGACUCAACCAGAAAUGGAGAGAGCCGUCUAAGGUGGGGUUGGUGAUUGGGGUGAAG